Molecule: ribosomal RNA, 506 nt
Filed under: Agraptocorixa halei
Lineage: Eukaryota; Metazoa; Arthropoda; Insecta; Hemiptera; Corixidae
Description: partial large subunit ribosomal RNA
Rfam family: Eukaryotic large subunit ribosomal RNA
Source: RNAcentral
GGAGUCUAACAUGUGCGCGAGUCAUUGGGUUGCAAACCUAAAGGCGGAAUGAAAGUGAAGCGAGCUUUGCUUUUAUUAGGGAGGAUGGCCGUGCUGCUUUCGAGGCGGCGGCCCGCACUCCCGGGGCGUCUACUGCUCGUCGAGCGGAGGCGCACCAAGAGCGUACACGUUAGGACCCGAAAGAUGGUGAACUAUGCCUGGCCAGGACGAAGCCAGGGGAAACCCUGGUGGAGGUCCGUAGCGCUUCUGACGUGCAAAUCGAUCGCAGGAGCUGGGUAUAGGGGCGAAAGACUAAUCGAACCAUCUAGUAGCUGGUUCCCUCCGAAGUUUCCCUCAGGAUAGCUGGCGCUCAUGUGAGACGAGUCUCAUCCGGUAAAGCGAAUGAUUAGAGGCCUUGGGGUCGAAACGACCUCAACCUAUUCUCAAACUUUAAAUGGAUGAGAACUCCGGCUUGCUUAAAGGUGAAGCCGGAGAUUCGGAUCAGAGUGCCCAGUGGGCCAAUUUUG